UGACCUGCCAACUGCAGCACUCUGUGGAGCUGAGAAACAAACACACGCUGGUCACUUUCAGCAUUUGGACAGCUACACAGACCACUUCAUUCCCAGUUCUUCUGGAUUUAUUAGGACUCCAAACUGAAGAGCUCUGGAGCCCUGGAGUCUGGCUGAAGGGCACAGCGAUAGUGCUAUUCAGAGCUCGCGUCAAAUCAAGAGCAGCAGCACGUUCUCUACACACACACUUCAGCUCCAUCUACACAACAACAGCAUGUGCACUGCGGACAGUUCACCCCCCCAAAAAUGACUUGUGUUGGACAUAAUGGAGGAUAUAAUGAAGGAUGCUGGAAAAAAAAAAAAACAGCUGUUGACUUUUAUAGUAUGUUUUGUUUCUACUAUGGCUGCUUUUUACAACAAUCUUCAAAAUAUCUUCUUUCAAGAGUUCACAAUUAGCUGAUAAUCAAUAAAGCGUAAUUGCCAUGCUGUCCCAGGAGAAAGCCCUGAGCUCGUAAUAUCCUCGAGCCCGGGGCUCCCUCCCAUUGGAAGGGCGAGAGAGGAGUACGAGCUCAGGUAAGUCUCGAGAACUCCCCUACUUGUCGCCGUGUGAGAAGUGUAAACUAAGGUUGUCUUGGAUGAUAAUUUGGUUAAGUCGAUUGGCUAUAGUGUAUGUUUUUUGGAUGGUGGGAGGAACACGGGGGAAACCAACGUGAACACGAGGAGAACAUGGAAACUCAAAAACCCCAACUGGCCCGAUAGGAGGUUGUACCAGUGGUGUUCUUGCUGUAAGGCAACAGUGCUAGCCACUGGGCCACCGUGUCGCCCCGAGCGGGGAAAAAAAAGGGGGCGGGGUUGGGGGAGUAGGGGUGGAAGUGGGGAAAGCUUUAAGACAAAGAUAACUGGAGUGAAAAACUCUAAUUAUUUAUAAUUUGUUCGUAAUCAUCUAAUACGGCAGAUUACGGAGCUAAUGAGGUGCCAGCUGUGUUGAUCAUAAACACGUGAUCCUUUCGAAAUUAGUUUAGAAAGAUACACACUUCAACAGAACAGAAGAAAGAACUUCAUAUAAGUUUAUAACCACCUGGGUGGGAGGAGACGUUAUUUUUGGGUGAACCACCCUUUAAUUAAUUUCCCUUUUGAUAGUUGUUGGGCAGGGACAUUCACAUAUGAAUUGUGAUUUAUGUAAAUGAUGCUAUAAUUUGUAAUUAUUAAAAAUGAUUAAAAAUC
Danio rerio (zebrafish) is the source of this 1203-nucleotide non-coding RNA. NCBI's taxonomy places the organism in Eukaryota, Metazoa, Chordata, Actinopteri, Cypriniformes, Danionidae. The record is from RefSeq and is a predicted model, not a curated record.